ACAAGCGGUGGAGCAUGUGGUUUAUUUCGAUGCAACGCGAAGAACCUUACCUACUCUUGACAUCCAGAGAACUUAGCAGAGAUGCUUUGGUGCCUUCGGGAACUCUGAGACAGGUGCUGCAUGGCUGUCGUCAGCUCGUGUUGUGAAAUGUUGGGUUAAGUCCCGCAACGAGCGCAACCCUUAUCCUUUGUUGCCAGCGAUUCGGUCGGGAACUCAAAGGAGACUGCCAGUGAUAAACUGGAGGAAGGUGGGGAUGACGUCAAGUCAUCAUGGCCCUUACGAGUAGGGCUACACACGUGCUACAAUGGCAUAUACAAAGAGAAGCGACCUCGCGAGAGCAAGCGGACCUCAUAAAGUAUGUCGUAGUCCGGAUUGGAGUCUGCAACUCGACUCCAUGAAGUCGGAAUCGCUAGUAAUCGUGGAUCAGAAUGCCACGGUGAAUACGUUCCCGGGCCUUGUACACACCGCCCGUCAAACCAUGGG
RNAcentral lists this ribosomal RNA (483 nucleotides) under Klebsiella pneumoniae. Its description in RNAcentral is "bacterial SSU rRNA". It matches the Rfam family "Bacterial small subunit ribosomal RNA", at positions 925 to 1408 of the family's 1533-position model. The record is from RNAcentral. Lineage: Bacteria; Pseudomonadati; Pseudomonadota; Gammaproteobacteria; Enterobacterales; Enterobacteriaceae.